RNAcentral lists this ribosomal RNA (252 nucleotides) under uncultured bacterium. RNAcentral's name for it is "partial 16S ribosomal RNA". It matches the Rfam family "Bacterial small subunit ribosomal RNA", at positions 524 to 776 of the family's 1533-position model. The record is from RNAcentral.
UACGUAGGGGGCUAGCGUUAUCCGGAAUUACUGGGCGUAAAGGGUGCGUAGGUGGUUUCUUAAGUCAGAGGUGAAAGGCUACGGCUCAACCGUAGUAAGCCUUUGAAACUGGGAAACUUGAGUGCAGGAGAGGAGAGUGGAAUUCCUAGUGUAGCGGUGAAAUGCGUAGAUAUUAGGAGGAACACCAGUUGCGAAGGCGGCUCUCUGGACUGUAACUGACGCUGAGGCUCGAAAGCGUGGGGAGCAAACAGG